UACGAAGGGGGCUAGCGUUGCUCGGAAUCACUGGGCGUAAAGGGUGCGUAGGCGGGUCUUUAAGUCAGGGGUGAAAUCCUGGAGCUCAACUCCAGAACUGCCUUUGAUACUGAAGGUCUUGAGUUCGGGAGAGGUGAGUGGAACUGCGAGUGUAGAGGUGAAAUUCGUAGAUAUUCGCAAGAACACCGGUGGCGAAGGCGGGUCUCUGGGCCGAUACUGACGCUGAGGAGCGAAAGCGUGGGGAGCGAACAGG
Molecule: ribosomal RNA, 253 nt
Filed under: uncultured bacterium
Lineage: Bacteria
Description: partial 16S ribosomal RNA
Rfam family: Bacterial small subunit ribosomal RNA
Source: RNAcentral